ACUAGUUGGCUAGCCAAGACCCUGAACACCGAGGGUUUUGGAUACAGAAGCCAAGCUCUGGGUGCUCUCAUCUUGCUCUCACCCCUUUGUCAUCCAUUCCUACACUUUUCUUUAUUCUCUGACCUCCCCCAUCUCAUCAGAAAGCAUGCACAUUAAGUGGCUCAAAGCUAACUCCAUUUAGGAUUUUAAGAAAAUGUGCGGUAGAAAGAAAAACUACCAACACCUUAAUCUCAUAAUGGGCUUUCUGAAGGGAAGACAGAUGUGACAAGACAGAUUGAGCAUCCUCUGAACAAGGCCCUUCAGCAGAAGCCCUACUGAUGUUCUGGGCUACAGUUUUUGCUAUCACGAGACCUACAUAUGGACAUUGAAGAAGGAAGAUUCACUCUUCUUCACCGCUUGCACUGACUUGCCAGCACAUCU
Molecule: small RNA, 420 nt
Filed under: Rattus norvegicus (Norway rat)
Lineage: Eukaryota; Metazoa; Chordata; Mammalia; Rodentia; Muridae
Description: uncharacterized LOC108351128
Source: RNAcentral